GACGAACGCUGGCGGCGCGCCUAACACAUGCAAGUCGAACGGAGCUGAGAGAAGCUUGCUUUUCUUAGCUUAGUGGCGAACGGGUGAGUAACGCGUGAGUAACCUGCCCUGUAGUGGGGGACAACAGUUGGAAACGACUGCUAAUACCGCAUAAGCCCACGAUCCGGCAUCGGAUUGAGGGAAAAGGAUUUAUUCGCUUCAGGAUGGACUCGCGUCCAAUUAGCUAGUUGGUGAGGUAACGGCCCACCAAGGCGACGAUUGGUAGCCGGACUGAGAGGUUGAACGGCCACAUUGGGACUGAGACACGGCCCAGACUCCUACGGGAGGCAGCAGUGGGGGAUAUUGCACAAUGGGGGAAACCCUGAUGCAGCGACGCCGCGUGGAGGAAGAAGGUUUUCGGAUUGUAAACUCCUGUCGUUAGGGACGAUAAUGACGGUACCUAACAAGAAAGCACCGGCUAACUACGUG
This 468-nucleotide ribosomal RNA is filed under the name uncultured bacterium. RNAcentral describes it as "partial 16S ribosomal RNA". It matches the Rfam family "Bacterial small subunit ribosomal RNA", at positions 28 to 507 of the family's 1533-position model. The record is from RNAcentral.